AUGCCUGCCUGUCACGCAGGAGGUCGCGGGUUCGAGUCCCGUCCGGACCG
Molecule: transfer RNA, 50 nt
Rfam family: tRNA
About the family: Transfer RNA (tRNA) molecules are approximately 80 nucleotides in length. Their secondary structure includes four short double-helical elements and three loops (D, anti-codon, and T loops).